This is a long non-coding RNA of Chenopodium quinoa (quinoa), 711 nucleotides long. RefSeq lists it as uncharacterized. The transcript is spliced from 5 exons. NCBI's taxonomy places the organism in Eukaryota, Viridiplantae, Streptophyta, Magnoliopsida, Caryophyllales, Amaranthaceae. The record is from RefSeq and is a predicted model, not a curated record.
CUCAAUUCUUUAAAAUUUCACCUUUUAGGUACUCAAUUCUUUUUUUCUUUGCUUUUGGGUACUGAGUUAAGAAUUCAAGCCAAAAAAAUUAAAUCAACCAAAGAAUUGAGUACCUUGGGUUAAAGAAUUUAGUACCCUUGGUUAAGUAUGUGGGCCCCACCCGAUUAAAAAAUUAAUAUUUAUAUAUAAAAAAAAAAUUCUCAAUUGCUCAUCUCUCUCUCUUUCAUACAAGGGGAGUAACUCAGCAGAAUCUAACUUCAUCGACCGAUGGAAAUCUUCGUCUCAAGGGGAGUUUCUCGGAUCGUUUGGAUGAAUCUGGAUGUCAACUCAAACUCAAAGGAGGUAAUUUUUCUCUAGGAGACCUUUAAUUAAUUAAAAGUGGCGCAAAAGAUUGUUUAUACGAGUAUUGCACAGGUUAGCUUGAUGAUGUGAAGUUCGAGAUUUGACAAUCGCAUUGUCAAGGGAUGGUGUGAUUGAGUGUAUUCAUUCUUUGUGUCAAACUUAUUUAUGCUUGGCUAUUUUAAUUAUGUUUUGGGAUUUUGAAUAUUGGUUUGGUUUUAAAUAAGGGCCUUAUAUGGUUCCAAUUUGUAAGCUUUGAUUUAUUGAUUUUCUAAACUAUGUUAUUUUAAAGACUUAAGUUUGAUUUUCCGCUGCGAUACUUUGAUAAAGCCUUAACGUUUUAACACGUGGCGGUAACAUGUCAAUGGUUCU